RNAcentral lists this ribosomal RNA (301 nucleotides) under uncultured bacterium. RNAcentral describes it as "partial 16S ribosomal RNA". It matches the Rfam family "Bacterial small subunit ribosomal RNA", at positions 509 to 807 of the family's 1533-position model. The record is from RNAcentral.
CAGUCGCCGCGGGAAUACGUAGGUGGCAAGCGUUGUCCGGAAUUAUUGGGCGUAAAGCGCGCGCAGGUGGUUUAAUAAGUCUGAUGCGAAAGCCCACGGCUCAACCGUGGAGGGUCAUUGGAAACUGUUAAACUUGAGUGCAGGAGAGAAAAGUGGAAUUCCUAGUGUAGCGGUGAAACGCGUAGAGAUUAGGAGGAACACCAGUGGCGAAGGCGGCUUUUUGGCCUGUAACUGACACUGAGGCGCGAAAGCGUGGGGAGCAAACAGGAUUAGAGACCCCAGUAGUCCCUGUCUCUUAUAC